CCCUUUUCUACGGAAUAGCCUUUGGAAACGAAGAGUAAUACCGUAUACGCCCUUUGGGGGAAAGAUUUAUCGGAGAAGGAUCGGCCCGCGUUAGAUUAGAUAGUUGGUGGGGUAACGGCCUACCAAGUCUACGAUCUAUAGCUGGUUUUAGAGGAUGAUCAGCAACACUGGGACUGAGACACGGCCCAGACUCCUACGGGAGGCAGCAGUGGGGAAUCUUAGACAAUGGGCGCAAGCCUGAUCUAGCCAUGCCGCGUGAGUGAUGAAGGCCUUAGGGUCGUAAAGCUCUUUCGCCUGUGAUGAUAAUGACAGUAGCAGGUAAAGAAACCCCGGCUAACUCCGUGCCAGCAGCCGCGGUAAUACGGAGGGGGUUAGCGUUGUUCGGAAUUACUGGGCGUAAAGCGCACGUAGGCGGAUUGGAAAGUUGGGGGUGAAAUCCCGGGGCUCAACCCCGGAACUGCCUCCAAAACUAUCAGUCUAGAGUUCGAGAGAGGUGAGUGGAAUUCCAAGUGUAGAGGUGAAAUUCGUAGAUAUUUGGAGGAACACCAGUGGCGAAGGCGGCUCACUGGCUCGAUACUGACGCUGAGGUGCGAAAGUGUGGGGAGCAAACAGGAUUAGAUACCCUGGUAGUCCACACCGUAAACGAUGAAUGCCAGUCGUCGGGCAGUAUACUGUUCGGUGACACACCUAACGGAUUAAGCAUUCCGCCUGGGGAGUACGGUCGCAAGAUUAAAACUCAAAGGAAUUGACGGGG
This 754-nucleotide ribosomal RNA is filed under the name uncultured Alphaproteobacteria bacterium. RNAcentral describes it as "bacterial SSU rRNA". It matches the Rfam family "Bacterial small subunit ribosomal RNA", at positions 129 to 918 of the family's 1533-position model. Lineage: Bacteria; Pseudomonadati; Pseudomonadota; Alphaproteobacteria. The record is from RNAcentral.